CCCCCUCUUGCAUUACUUCCAAUACCUCACUCAUGGUAGGGCGCCACGUCGAAGAUGCUCGGAUACAAAGAGAUGCAGCAAAGGCAAGUCUUAUCAGCUGUGAAGCAUCAUAGGCCCCUCCAAGCCUUGGAUCUACCACCUCUUCAGUUUCUCCUUGUUUCAAUAUUGGUUUAGCCCAGCUGCAUAUGCUUUGGUGAGAGCCAUCAACUGGUCUCC
Molecule: unclassified non-coding RNA, 216 nt
Filed under: Hevea brasiliensis (rubber tree)
Lineage: Eukaryota; Viridiplantae; Streptophyta; Magnoliopsida; Malpighiales; Euphorbiaceae
Source: RNAcentral